RNAcentral lists this small RNA (182 nucleotides) under Chrysemys picta bellii (western painted turtle). RNAcentral describes it as "TUC338 (ENSCPBG00000008649.1)". Lineage: Eukaryota; Metazoa; Chordata; Testudines; Emydidae. The record is from RNAcentral.
CUGACAGCAACAGAGACUGAAGUAGUUUGUUUCUCUAUCUAACAGGCAAAGCAUGGACAGCUGCAGGGCAAGCUUCCCCAUAUUCCACUUCUAAUGUGUCUUGAACCUCAUCAAGAGGGAUCAUCUCUAGAAAGAAUAUAAAAGUACUUCUACAUAUACUGUCCUCUCAGACAUUGGCCAAC